Long non-coding RNA from Hylaeus anthracinus, 1332 nucleotides. RefSeq lists it as uncharacterized. The transcript has 2 exons. The record is from RefSeq and is a predicted model, not a curated record. Lineage: Eukaryota; Metazoa; Arthropoda; Insecta; Hymenoptera; Colletidae.
UGCCGCUGCAGGACGUACGAAUGGACGUCCAACCGGCGGAUAAAACCAGCUAGAUUAUGGGGAAACCGUCGGACUUUUAUUACGGAAUGGUAAUUUCGCGUGCUGCACGGCUUGGUAUAAGUAGAGGACGUCAGUUUUCGAUUCGGUGGAGAGUGUUUUAUAGUCGACCGGGGAACCUUCCCUUCCAGCGGGUUCCUUAGCCACGCCGCUAAUGGGAAAACAAACGAAAGGAAAAUGAAGGGCCAAGCGUUGCGGCGCGACAGAGGUCUCGUUAGCCUGUUGCGACCACUUUUUAUUGAAUUUUCUGCUGACCCUUUAAUGUACUCGCCAUGUGUACGGUUGAGAUGCUGCGCGAUCCCAGCAAACACUGCUUUCCGUUUAUGAGUUCUUGGUGAAUAGGUUUACAAGUUUAUGUCGAAUCGUAAACGCUUACAUACGGCUUUCUUCGUCGCGUUCAGAAUGCAUCGACGAACAACCCUACACUUUUUAUCUACGUACAGGGUGCCCCCAGGUUAUCCGGCAAAUCGAGUCAACCUGUUUUAUAAGCAGAAAUGAGGAAAAUUGUUUCGUGGACGAAGGUCCGUAAACGGUUCAUUAAAAUCUUAUAACAAAAGUCUGAAAUAUGAAGGAAAUAACAAGGGAUCUCACACGGGAUGCUUCAAUCGUUCAAUAUUAAGCGCAAAUCUUUCAAAAUUUAUUUACUGCUUUCGUUGAAAUUUAUAAUUGAAUAGAAAGAGUGAGUUCGAUUGGACAGGUUGGAAUUUUAAUAUGGAAACGUACUUUUAAUGAACAGGUGAAUACGUGUAUUUAAUUUGUUAUUAUUGUCGUUAUUAAUAGGAAACGUUUUAUCGCGAAAUUUAUACAUAGAUAAUCACUUUUCGUGUGCUUUGCUGUAACAUCCCUUAAAAACAUUAAGGAACGAUUACAGGAGUGCUACAAAGUUAAACAAAAAACGCAAAGUAUGGGUGGUAGAGAAUCAUAAAUAAUUAGGAAGUUUAAAAGUAUCAAAAAUAUUACUGAUAUGUAAAUAGGAAAGUACGGAUCUGAGGUAUAAUUCUUGCAGGAGUACAAAUUAUUCAACAUUACUACCUGCAUUCUGCCGACAAUAAAACUAGACCACCAGGAGACUUUCUGUGGAAACUUGCAGGUAUUCCAAGACUGGGUGGUUUGUAUAAUAAAACACUCUAGAAUGAUUGACAAAGCCAUAAGGUUGUAAAUAGGGAAGGCUGUAAAACAGUUCAAUUCGCUGAACCUCGUUCUUUGCAAGUUCAUUAUAUUUCAGUUUGGUAUGGCGAAUGGAAACGUUAAAUGAAUAAAUACAAGAAAUGAGCA